CCUCCCUCCCUCUUCCUCUGUGUGUGUAUAUACAAUGCUGCCUGCAUGUUUACACGGUAGAGCUUGUGCAAAGUUAUGUAUUUCAACAUCUAAGGUAUGCCAAUAAGACCUAUUGAAAAAAAUGAUUCAUCACUGAAAAGUAAUAAAGUAAAGUAAUAAAUAAAUAUCGAGUGAUGAAAUGCAUAAACAUCGGCUUAAGUAGUGAGUCCUGGAUAAAGCAACCCUAGUUAUGUGAAGUUGAAAACAGGCUUACAUAGCAACAUUUGGUGCGGUGGUUUAGCGACCCCUUCUGGCUACAACGGCCGGGAGCUGGAGGCCUUUGGGCCCCGACGCUCCAGGGUAACGUGUCGCCCUGCGGGUUAACGGUUAACCCGGCGCCUGGUCGCCAAGGCAGUGCACACACUCGAGGGUUUCAGGGGGCUUGACAACAUUAUACAAUUAAACUUUGUGUCUAUUCGUUGGCAUUUUAAUGGGGAAUAAUUAGCCUCAAUCGAGAUAUGGUGUACUUGUGCCAACUGAUUGUACACAUGCACCGCGUAGCUAUGAUGUAACUGCUCAAUUUGAUUUUUGAGAUUAUACAAAAUGAACCCUAAAUUCUAUCGCUAUCGUGUAUAUUUUACGUGUAAAUAGGGGUAUGCAAUGUAAGAAGUGUGAAUGCAAUAUUAUAAAAAGAUUUAUUUUAAAUCAUCAAGGUAUGAUAGACUUGGAGAUCUUUUUCUGUCACCUCACCGUCAAGAACAUCACACAUUUCGUGCAGCCGGUGCAAAGUGCCACUCUGCAAACCCACGAAAAGGCGAUAGUAGAAAAAGGCCUAUUUUUUAUUUUGCGCGUGCACGGAAGCGCGCUCACGUUUGGCAGCUCCACGUCGACAUUCUUCCAGCUGCAGAGAGUGAACCGCACGGGACUGGAGGAAGAAAGGUAGAAGCAGCACAAGGUCUCUCUCUGCCUCUUUUGCCUUUUGUAAUCUACUGUAAGCCCUCGUGCUGUGGAGUGCAGCUGGUCUCUCUGCGUCUACCUCUACCAGGUACGGUAUACGACUUUUUAAACGGACUUCUAAACAUUUACUUUUAGGUGGAGCACUUGUUUUGACGCACUAGAAACACACUUUUGUUUUUUGUUUUGAAAUUUCCUCUUUGUACGCUGAAGACUACUCCAUUAUCACCGCGUUUAAAGAGGCAAGUGUCCGCAAUAACUUUAAACAGUAUGGCAUAACUUUUUUUUAUUGCGUGUAUUGUGUAGGCCUACCACAUUUGACAUAUUUGGAGCCAUCAUUUGCUACAUUGUAUCUCUUAAUUAGUUUCUUUUUGGGGGCGAUUACUUCUGGCCAUCUUUCAAAAGGUUAUUUAAUCAACAGGUAGGCUAUGGCAAUGGUAGGCUGUAGGCCUGCAAAAGAACACCGAUUUAGACCAGAAGCAGUUCUAACAAUUCUAUUUGGGGUUUCAAUAGUGAGGAUUUAUUCAGGUCAGCUGUCAGACAGCGGCCUAAAUGUUUACUCUGCAACCUUGAUUAUUCGUCAAGGUUGAAGAGGUGAGUAUAAAAACGUUGGUCAACCAACGUGAAGGCCCAUACCUUUCCCUUUUCUCAUCUGUUUUACAAUUCGAUGCAAGGAGAUAAGUUGCCCGUCCGAGCAUAAUUAUCCGAGGUCUACAAAGGCCUAGUGCUCUGUCUUUUGUUAUACCAGUCUCACCAUGUACAGUUUGAAUUACAACAGCUUUGACUUUUGAGGAGGAGGAGGGCGGUGGAAAAUACACUCCUAAUGUUGAAAGCCUUCUACAAAAUGAAUACAAACAAGAUGAAACAAAAUACGGCCUUUCAAGUGUUUUAAGUGUUGUGUUUCUGCACCACCACUACAGGGUCAUGGAGUCCUCAGCCCGCUGGCUGAUGCUCUGGAACCGUCUGCUACCCAGCGCCUGUGAGGUGGCACUGUGGCUCCCCAAAUAAAGUUCUGUGAUACACUCAGACUGUAAUUGACGGUAGUCAGUGCAUUACAGAACUUUGUUUUGGGAGUAAAGUACUAACCGGGAACCGACCAACCGACCGGCUGGAGUUUGUAUGAUUGUCUCCCCCAGAUGGGACACCGUUGAUUUAACAUGCCUUUGUGUUUUUUUAAAUUGUUUUAAAUAAACGUUUGUUCUUGAUGCA
Gadus macrocephalus (Pacific cod) is the source of this 2142-nucleotide long non-coding RNA. RefSeq lists it as uncharacterized. The transcript has 2 exons. NCBI's taxonomy places the organism in Eukaryota, Metazoa, Chordata, Actinopteri, Gadiformes, Gadidae. The record is from RefSeq and is a predicted model, not a curated record.